AGGAGACAUCAUCAUUUAUUGAACCAUUCUCCACUAAUGGACUUUCACCUGAUCACUGUGAUGUGAGACCAUACAAUGAGAACCAUGGCUGGCUGUGGGGCCUGGAUCUGCUGCAUUCCUGGUGCCCCAGCAUCCAGCCCCGAGUCUGCCCACAGAGAGUGGGCCUGCUCACUGGGGCGACCGCACUCUGCUGCACCACGCUAAGGCUGCCCUGGUCCAAUCUCUGCCUCAGACUGGACCAGAGGUAUCUCAGAGAGGGAGGGACGAGCUCCCCACUAGGACUCUGGAGGUUUCAGGACUUGGGGACCAGGGGGAAAACCUGCUAAAUCGCCUAAAACCAGCUGGAGCAGCCUGAAGGACUCUCCAAUGACCUCCUCCUGAACCUACACCCCCAUUAUCAUGCUUGAACAUGCCGAUGUAUGUAUAACCAUGUUUCCUGACUUCGAAUGCCCUGGACUGUCACCACCUAUACAUGCAAUUACAAAGUCUACUUCAAUGUUUAUGCAUGACUUCCCCUAAUAAAGAUGGGUUGGAUACUUUGCUCAGGGAUACCAUGCUCUGGGUACGAC
Long non-coding RNA from Eptesicus fuscus (big brown bat), 569 nucleotides. RefSeq lists it as uncharacterized. The transcript has 3 exons. Lineage: Eukaryota; Metazoa; Chordata; Mammalia; Chiroptera; Vespertilionidae. The record is from RefSeq and is a predicted model, not a curated record.